This 87-nucleotide transfer RNA is filed under the name Elusimicrobiota bacterium. RNAcentral describes it as "Elusimicrobia bacterium (groundwater metagenome) tRNA-Ser". It matches the Rfam family "tRNA". From Rfam's summary of the family: Transfer RNA (tRNA) molecules are approximately 80 nucleotides in length. Their secondary structure includes four short double-helical elements and three loops (D, anti-codon, and T loops). Further hydrogen bonds mediate the characteristic L-shaped molecular structure. tRNAs have two regions of fundamental functional importance: the anti-codon, which is responsible for specific mRNA codon recognition, and the 3' end, to which the tRNAs corresponding amino acid is attached (by aminoacyl-tRNA synthetases). tRNAs cope with the degeneracy of the genetic code in two manners: having more than one tRNA (with a specific anti-codon) for a particular amino acid; and 'wobble' base-pairing, i.e. permitting non-standard base-pairing at the 3rd anti-codon position. Lineage: Bacteria; Pseudomonadati; Elusimicrobiota. The record is from RNAcentral.
GGAAGGGUGGCCGAGCGGUUGAUGGCGCUGGUCUUGAAAACCAGUGUGCCUUCACGGGCACCGGGGGUUCAAAUCCCUCCCCUUCCG